This 31-nucleotide non-coding RNA is filed under the name Rattus norvegicus (Norway rat). Lineage: Eukaryota; Metazoa; Chordata; Mammalia; Rodentia; Muridae. The record is from RNAcentral.
UGGGAUAUCCUUAGUGUUGAUACAACACCUC